AGGACGAACGCUGGCGGCGUGCUUAACACAUGCAAGUCGAGCGAAGUCCGACCGGUGGCAACACCGGGGAAGGCUUAGCGGCGAACGGGUGAGUAACACGUGAGCAACCUGUCCCGAAGACUGGGAUAACACCGGGAAACCGGUGCUAAUACCGGAUACCCCCAUCGGACCGCAUGAUCUGAUGAGGAAAUGAAUUUCGCUUCGGGAGGGGCUCGCGGGCUAUCAGCUUGUUGGUGGGGUAACGGCCUACCAAGGCGACGACGGCUAGCUGGUCUGAGAGGACGACCAGCCACACUGGGACUGAGACACGGCCCAGACUCCUACGGGAGGCAGCAGUGGGGGAAUCUUGCGCAAUGGGCGAAAGCCUGACGCAGCAACGCCGCGUGGGGAUGAAUGCCUUCGGGUUGUAAACCCCUUUCAGCAGGGACGAAUCUGACGGUACCUGCAGAAGAACGCCCCGGCCAACUACGUGCCAGCAGCCGC
Molecule: ribosomal RNA, 483 nt
Filed under: uncultured bacterium
Lineage: Bacteria
Description: SSU rRNA
Rfam family: Bacterial small subunit ribosomal RNA
Source: RNAcentral